Molecule: ribosomal RNA, 480 nt
Filed under: uncultured bacterium
Lineage: Bacteria
Description: bacterial SSU rRNA
Rfam family: Bacterial small subunit ribosomal RNA
Source: RNAcentral
AACGCUGGCGGCGUGCCUAACACAUGCAAGUCGAACGAAGCUUGACGGAUGAUUUCUUCGGAAUGAAACCUGAUAUGACUUAGUGGCGGACGGGUGAGUAACGCGUGAGCAACCUGCCUUUCAGAGGGGGAUAACAUUUGGAAACAGAUGCUAAUACCGCAUAAGAUUACAGUACCGCAUGAUACAGUGAUCAAAGGAGCAAUCCGCUGAAAGAUGGGCUCGCGUCCGAUUAGAUAGUUGGUGAGGUAACGGCUCACCAAGUCGACGAUCAGUAGCCGGACUGAGAGGUUGAACGGCCACAUUGGGACUGAGACACGGCCCAGACUCCUACGGGAGGCAGCAGUGGGGAAUAUUGCACAAUGGGGGAAACCCUGAUGCAGCGACGCCGCGUGAGCGAAGAAGUAUUUCGGUAUGUAAAGCUCUAUCAGCAGGGAAGAAGAAAUGACGGUACCUGACUAAGAAGCACCGGCUAAAUACGUG